This 637-nucleotide long non-coding RNA is filed under the name Salmo salar (Atlantic salmon). RNAcentral describes it as "lncRNA (ENSSSAG00000101265.1)". The record is from RNAcentral. Lineage: Eukaryota; Metazoa; Chordata; Actinopteri; Salmoniformes; Salmonidae.
AGUGUCUGGCAGCACUGUGUUCCUGUUAGAGCCACCAGCACAAGCACCAGACGAUGCUGAUCCAGGUGAAGGCCCCAGUGCAGCAGCAACAGCACAUGAUGGAGACGAUGAUGAGGAGGAGACCAUCUCUCUGGAUUCCAGAAGGCAUGAGGUAUCAUGUUAAGACUGUGAAAGUACUAUUUACUCUACAAUGGUGAGGAGUCCUCAUCAAAAUCAAAAAAUCUAAUUUCUUUUACAGGACCCAGAUGCUAUACAGUGGGAAAACCAGCCUGGCAACAUAGUGCGUAUUAAUAAAAGGACACCACAUCCUGCCAAAUUCCAGCUGCGCUAAUUGUAUUGUGUUCACAGAGCUCACAAGCUAUCAGAAAGUUGUAUGGCAACCACCUCCGGCGCCAAAUAGAACUGGCAGACAUAGACAUUCAGUACAAGAAGAAAAAGAUGGAAAAUCUUGCACUGGAGUCCGAAAUAAAAAAGAGGACAAUUAGGAAACUGGACCUUGAAAUAAAAAAACUUGAGAGGGAGCUCCAAGAAGAUGACACAGCUCAAAAUAAAAAUUAGGUAUAUUCUCGUAAAGUCAAGUGAGCCAUGACAUAUGAGCUCUUAUUGUGAGCACACAGGACGGUGGCAUCUUUCUAAG